AGUGAACGCUGGCGGUAGGCCUAACACAUGCAAGUCGAACGGCAGCACAGUAAGAGCUCGCUCUUACGGGUGGCGAGUGGCGGACGGGUGAGGAAUACAUCGGAAUCUACUUUUUCGUGGGGGAUAACGUAGGGAAACUUACGCUAAUACCGCAUACGACCUACGGGUGAAAGCAGGGGAUCUUCGGACCUUGCGCGAUUGAAUGAGCCGAUGUCGGAUUAGCUAGUUGGCGGGGUAAAGGCCCACCAAGGCGACGAUCCGUAGCUGGUCUGAGAGGAUGAUCAGCCACACUGGAACUGAGACACGGUCCAGACUCCUACGGGAGGCAGCAGUGGGGAAUAUUGGACAAUGGGCGCAAGCCUGAUCCAGCCAUACCGCGUGGGUGAAGAAGGCCUUCGGGUUGUAAAGCCCUUUUGUUGGGAAAGAAAAGCAGCGGGUUAAUACCCCGCUGUUCUGACGGUACCCAAAGAAUAAGCACCGGCUAACUUCGUG
Molecule: ribosomal RNA, 492 nt
Filed under: uncultured bacterium
Lineage: Bacteria
Description: partial 16S ribosomal RNA
Rfam family: Bacterial small subunit ribosomal RNA
Source: RNAcentral